RNAcentral lists this ribosomal RNA (403 nucleotides) under uncultured bacterium. RNAcentral's name for it is "partial 16S ribosomal RNA". It matches the Rfam family "Bacterial small subunit ribosomal RNA", at positions 30 to 526 of the family's 1533-position model. The record is from RNAcentral.
AUUGAACGCUGGCGGCAGGCCUAACACAUGCAAGUCGAGCGACUGGCGGACGGGUGAGUAAUGUAUGGGGACUGCUUGAUAGAGGUGGUUCACUACUGCAAACGGUCGCUACUACCGCAUACUAUCGGAUAACCCAUAUGGGAUUGGCUAGUAGGUGAGGGAAUGGCCAACCUAGUCGACGAUCCCUAGCUGGUCUGAGAGGAUGAUCAGCACCACUGGGACUGAGACACGGCCCAGACUCCUACGGAGGAAGCAGUGGGGAAUAUUGCACAAUGGGCGCAAGCCUGAUACGGCCAUACCGCAUGUAUGGAGAGGGCCUUGGGGUUGUAAAGUUCAUUCAGACGGGAGGGGUUACCGGCAGAAGAAGCACCGGCUAACUCCGUGCCAGCAGCCGCGGUAAUUC